GAUUUGCUAGCUCAGUAGGUAGAGCACAUCCCUUUUAAGGAUGGGGUCCUGGGUUCGAACCCCAGGCAAAUCACCA
This 76-nucleotide transfer RNA is filed under the name Parabacteroides sp. PF5-9. RNAcentral's name for it is "tRNA-Lys". It matches the Rfam family "tRNA". Rfam says of the family: Transfer RNA (tRNA) molecules are approximately 80 nucleotides in length. The record is from RNAcentral. Lineage: Bacteria; Pseudomonadati; Bacteroidota; Bacteroidia; Bacteroidales; Tannerellaceae.